AUACGGAGGGUGCAAGCGUUAUUCGGAAUCACUGGGCGUAAAGGACGCGUAGGCGGGUUGGCAAGUCAGAUGUGAAAUCCUACAGCUUAACUGUAGAACUGCAUUUGAAACUGCUAACCUAGAGUAUGGGAGGGGGAGAUGGAAUUAGUGGUGUAGGGGUAAAAUCCGUAGAUAUCACUAGGAAUACCGAAGCGAAGGCGAUCUCCUGGAACAUAACUGACACUAAGGCGUGAAAGCGUGGGGAGCAAACAGGAUUAGAAACCCUAGUAGUCC
Molecule: ribosomal RNA, 273 nt
Filed under: uncultured bacterium
Lineage: Bacteria
Description: partial 16S ribosomal RNA
Rfam family: Bacterial small subunit ribosomal RNA
Source: RNAcentral